ACGAACGCUGGCGGCGUGCUUAACACCUGCAAGUCGAACGGAAAGGCCCUGCUUUUGUGGGGUGCUCGAGUGGCGAACGGGUGAGUAACACGUGAGUAACCUGCCCUUGACUUUGGGAUAACUUCAGGAAACUGGGGCUAAUACCGGAUAGGAGCUCCUGCUGCAUGGUGGGGGUUGGAAAGUUUCGGCGGUUGGGGAUGGACUCGCGGCUUAUCAGCUUGUUGGUGGGGUAGUGGCUUACCAAGGCUUUGACGGGUAGCCGGCCUGAGAGGGCGACCGGCGACAUUGGGACUGAGAUACGGCCCAGACUCCUACGGGAGGCAGAAGUGGGGAAUAUUGCACAGUGGGCGGAAGCCUGAUGCAGCAACGCCGCGUGCGGGAUGACGGCCUUCGGGUUGUAAACAGCUUUCGCCUGUGACGAAGCGUGAGUGACGGUAAUGGGUAAAGAAGCACCGGCUAACUACGUG
RNAcentral lists this ribosomal RNA (467 nucleotides) under uncultured bacterium. Its description in RNAcentral is "partial 16S ribosomal RNA". It matches the Rfam family "Bacterial small subunit ribosomal RNA", at positions 29 to 507 of the family's 1533-position model. The record is from RNAcentral.